RNAcentral lists this transfer RNA (98 nucleotides) under Chlamydomonas reinhardtii. It matches the Rfam family "tRNA". Rfam says of the family: Transfer RNA (tRNA) molecules are approximately 80 nucleotides in length. Their secondary structure includes four short double-helical elements and three loops (D, anti-codon, and T loops). Further hydrogen bonds mediate the characteristic L-shaped molecular structure. tRNAs have two regions of fundamental functional importance: the anti-codon, which is responsible for specific mRNA codon recognition, and the 3' end, to which the tRNAs corresponding amino acid is attached (by aminoacyl-tRNA synthetases). tRNAs cope with the degeneracy of the genetic code in two manners: having more than one tRNA (with a specific anti-codon) for a particular amino acid; and 'wobble' base-pairing, i.e. permitting non-standard base-pairing at the 3rd anti-codon position. The record is from Rfam by way of RNAcentral. Lineage: Eukaryota; Viridiplantae; Chlorophyta; Chlorophyceae; Chlamydomonadales; Chlamydomonadaceae.
GCACUUAUAGCUCAGUUGGUUAGAGCACCCGUUUAGUAUGAGCCUCAGAGCCCAGCACAAGCAGCGGGAGGUCUCCAGUUCGAAUCUGGAUAAGUGCA